AGUGGCGGACGGGUGAGUAACACGUGGGAACGUGCCUUUAGGUUCGGAAUAAGCCCGGGAAACUGGGUCUAAUACCGGAUGUGCCCUUCGGGGGAAAGAUUUAUCGCCUUUAGAGCGGCCCGCGUCUGAUUAGCUAGUUGGUGGUGUAAUGGACCACCAAGGCGACGAUCAGUAGCUGGUCUGAGAGGAUGAUCAGCCACAUUGGGACUGAGACACGGCCCAAACUCCUACGGGAGGCAGCAGUGGGGAAUCUUGCGCAAUGGGCGAAAGCCUGACGCAGCCAUGCCGCGUGAAUGAUGAAGGUCUUAGGAUUGUAAAAUUCUUUCACCGGGGACGAUAAUGACGGUACCCGGAGAAGAAGCCCCGACUAACUUCGUGCCAGCAGCCGCGGUAAUACGAAGGGGGCUAGCGUUGCUCGGAAUUACUGGGCGUAAAGGGAGCGUAGGCGGACAUUUAAGUCAGGGGUGAAAUCCCGGGGCUCAACCUCGGAACUGCCUUUGAUACUGGAUGUCUUGAGUGCGGGAGAGGUGUGUGGAACUCCGAGUGUAGAGGUGAAAUUCGUAGAUAUUCGGAAGAACACCAGUGGCGAAGGCGACACACUGGCCCGUUACUGACGCUGAGGCGCGAAAGCGUGGGGAGCAAACAGGAUUAGAUACCCUGGUAGUCCACGCCGUAAACGAUGAUUGCUAGUUGUCGGAG
This 699-nucleotide ribosomal RNA is filed under the name uncultured Novosphingobium sp. RNAcentral's name for it is "bacterial SSU rRNA". It matches the Rfam family "Bacterial small subunit ribosomal RNA", at positions 94 to 828 of the family's 1533-position model. The record is from RNAcentral. Lineage: Bacteria; Pseudomonadati; Pseudomonadota; Alphaproteobacteria; Sphingomonadales; Sphingomonadaceae.